Molecule: unclassified non-coding RNA, 825 nt
Filed under: Amphimedon queenslandica
Lineage: Eukaryota; Metazoa; Porifera; Demospongiae; Haplosclerida; Niphatidae
Description: ras-related protein RABF1-like, transcript variant X1
Source: RNAcentral
ACGCAUAUUUUUUAAACAGCCACGCCCAACACUGCUGCAGUAGUAUUUACUCUCUCCUCGACUCUCUCUUUAUCAAAAAUGGCUAGUGCUGGAGGAGCGAUGCAACUAAAAGUCCUCUUUGUUGGUGAUGUUGAUGUUGGAAAAACAUCAAUAUUCGAAUUAUAUAGAACUCAUGAAGUGGCCAAAUCUCCUAAGCAUACAAUGGACCCUGUUAUUAAAAGUUUUAAUAUUGUUACUAUGACUCCUCACACAACAGUAGAACUACACCUUUACGACACAGGAGGACAGGAACGCUACAAAACAUUGACAAAACAGUUUUUUAGAGAUGCUGACAUUGCUCUUCUUGUGUUCAGUAUCACUGAUGGUGAUUCAUUCCGCCACAUUGAGCAGGAUUGGAGACAAGAAGUUUUGAAUCAUAAUGAAAAGGACGUGAUGAUGAUUCUCAUUGGCAACAAGGAUGAUCUUCACGAAGAGAGAAUCAACCCUAAAUCAACAAGCAGACAAUAUGCUGAGAUACAUCACAUGAAGUUUGUUGAAAUGUCUGCAAAUAGAAGAGAUGAUUAUGAUAAGGUGGACUCUGUCAUUCGAGAAGCUACAACUGAAAUUGUACGUCAAAGACGUAAUACUAUGUCUGGACCUGUACAGCAAGAAGAUGAAAGAAUAGUUCUGGAUGAGCCAGUUCAUGAUGGUCUAGUGCAGCAACAAGAGCAAAAAAGAAGUCGAUGCCGUUAUUGUUAAAGACUACUUAUACAAUUACUUUUAUAUACUUUUAUAUUGUCCAUUCUAUUUGUCCCUUGAAUAAUCUCCUAAAACCUGCAGACAAGU